GUCAUUAUCGCAGCUUCUUGUUUGGCAGGAUGUGAUGUAGCCUGCACGUGUUAAAGGUCAAAUCUUCUGUCAAAAUGUCAACUACACCUGAUGAUUCUAAGAUGGGCAAGCUUGUAUUCUGUGUCUUCAUAUUCUUCAUUAGUCAGACAGCAUCUAUCAGCAGCUCGCCACCUGCGCCCACAAACGCUACAUCAGCAAAAAGCAGUUCCUCAUUAUCUACAAGCAGUACGGUCCUAACGAGCACCAGCCAAACAACCACAAGUUCCAACAGACAAAUAGUAAAUCACCAACAACACAAACAGUAAGCUCCCCAGCAGCCACAUCGACAACCAUCAGUACAUCAUCGAUAACGACCAGUGAACCAGCAACAAUCUCAACUGAAGGCAAUGUCACCUCUAACGAAACAUACACAACAGUCAGCGAGGUCACAUUUACCAGUGAAUUAUUGACAUCCAUCGAAAUGUCAUCAGCAUCCACCAACAAACUGUUCACUGUCUCCGAUGAAUCGUUACCAACAACUGCCUCGCUAGAACCUUCCAACAGUAAUGACCUCUCGACCAUGACUACAAGUUCGCCCACUGUCAUCACUAAAACAUCUACCAUUCUCACAUCACUGACUACGGCUCACCAAUCAACAGGAUCCACGUCUUCACGUGACUCGGGGGUGGAGUUACGCCAGGGGUCAUCGGUGGGAGUGUGAUGGGAGUUGCUGCUCUUGUUUUCCUUGUUGGUUUUGUCUUCGUCAUCUACAAGAAACGACGGGGUCCAGUCGCAUUCCUGGCGGUCAGUACUGACACAGACGAUUUACAAGAACUCAUGGAGACGUAGCUGUUACACACGCUGUUGAACAUGUGUGUGAUAAUGAAAUAAAAUGCUACACAUAAAUGUAUUCCUCGACCCCUGUUGUUCUUUAGGAAAAAUUUGUUAUAUCGGGACAUUUUGAACGUUUCUGAAAUGAUGGUUAAGGAAGAAAUGUGAAUGCUUGUUCACAUUUUUGUUUCGAUGCAAUUGAUCAUGUCUAAUUAUGAUCUACUCGCUCUUCUAAUCAGCAUCAAAUAUAAAACUCUGAUAAUACUAGCGAUGUUCGAGGAUACAUUUCUGUGUUCACGUGCACAUUUAUAGCUUUGAAAACAUUGAACGAGACGAAGAAGCAGACACAGAGAUUAAGGUUGACAGUAUAACAAAA
RNAcentral lists this unclassified non-coding RNA (1186 nucleotides) under Pomacea canaliculata. RNAcentral describes it as "bypass of stop codon protein 1-like, transcript variant X1". Lineage: Eukaryota; Metazoa; Mollusca; Gastropoda; Architaenioglossa; Ampullariidae. The record is from RNAcentral.